This 256-nucleotide ribosomal RNA is filed under the name unidentified marine bacterioplankton. RNAcentral describes it as "partial 16S ribosomal RNA". It matches the Rfam family "Bacterial small subunit ribosomal RNA", at positions 85 to 339 of the family's 1533-position model. The record is from RNAcentral.
UGGUGGCGAGUGGACGAACGGGUGAGUAAUAUAUCGGAACGUGCCCAGUCGGUGGGGGAUAACGCAGACGAAAGCUGUGCUAAUACCGCAUACGAUCUAUGGAUGAGAGGCGGGGGACUCGCAAGGGCCUCGCGCGAUUGGAGCGGCCGAUAUCAGAUUAGCUAGUUGGUGGGGUAAAAGCUCACCAAGGCGACGAUCUGUAGCUGGUCUGAGAGGACGACCAGCCACACUGGAACUGAGACACGGUCCAGACUCC